UGUUUUGGACGCUGGAAGUCUGAAGUCAAGGCGUUGGCAGGCAAUGCUCCCUCUGAAGGCUCUAGGGGAAAAUCCUUUCUUGCCUCUUCGGCUUCCGAGGCUGCCGGCAUUCCUUUGCUUGUGGCUGCAGA
Long non-coding RNA from Myotis brandtii (Brandt's bat), 131 nucleotides. RefSeq lists it as uncharacterized. The transcript has 3 exons. The record is from RefSeq and is a predicted model, not a curated record. Lineage: Eukaryota; Metazoa; Chordata; Mammalia; Chiroptera; Vespertilionidae.